UAAGGUCUAGCCUGCCCAAUGAGGGUUUAAAUGGCCGCAGUAUUUUGACUGUGCAAAGGUAGCAUAAUUAUUAGUUUUUUAAUUGAAAGCUUGUAUGAAGGGUUGGACGAGAUAAAAUCUGUCUUUAUUUAAAUUAUAGUAGAAUUUAACUUUUAAGUCAAAAGGCUUAAAUAUCUGUAAAAGACGAGAAGACCCUAUAGAUCUUUAUUUAAUUAAUAUUUUGAUAAUUUAGGAUUAUUUUAAUUUAAAGUUUUAAUUAAAUUUUAUUGGGGUAAUAUAAAGAUUAAAUGGAUUCUUUUUAUUUGUUACAUUAAUUUAUGAAUUUAUGAUCCAGUAUUAUUGAUUAUAAGAUUAAGUUACCUUAGGGAUAACAGCGUAAUUUUUUUGGAGAGCUCAUAUCGAUAAAAAAGUUUGCGACCUCGAUGUUGGAUUAAAAAUUAGUUUGGGUGUAGAAGCUCAAAAUUUUGGUCUGUUCGACCAUUAAAUUUUUACAUGAUCUGAGUUCAAACCGGCGUAAGCCAGGUCGGUUUCUAUCUUUAUUUAAUUAAAAUAUUUUAGUACGAAAGGACCAAAUAUUUGAUAUAGUUAUAUUUAUUUUUUGAAUAAUAUU
This 610-nucleotide ribosomal RNA is filed under the name Cicindela japana. RNAcentral's name for it is "partial 16S ribosomal RNA". It matches the Rfam family "Bacterial large subunit ribosomal RNA", at positions 1846 to 2739 of the family's 2925-position model. The record is from RNAcentral. Lineage: Eukaryota; Metazoa; Arthropoda; Insecta; Coleoptera; Carabidae.